UGACUUCAGCAGUACAUAUACUAAAAUUAGAAUGACACAGAGAAGAUUAGCAUGGCUCUGUGCAAGGAUGAUAUGCUGAUUUGUGAAGCAGUCCAUAUUUUU
Small nuclear RNA from Suricata suricatta (meerkat), 102 nucleotides. NCBI's taxonomy places the organism in Eukaryota, Metazoa, Chordata, Mammalia, Carnivora, Herpestidae. The record is from Ensembl.